Molecule: ribosomal RNA, 429 nt
Filed under: Chloroflexota bacterium
Lineage: Bacteria; Bacillati; Chloroflexota
Description: Chloroflexi bacterium partial 16S ribosomal RNA
Rfam family: Bacterial small subunit ribosomal RNA
Source: RNAcentral
UGGGGAAUAUUGCACAAUGGGCGCAAGCCUGAUGCAGCCAUGCCGCGUGUGUGAAGAAGGCCGUCGGGUUGUAAAGCACUUUCAGCGGGGAGGAAGGCGUUAAGGUUAAUAACCUUGGCGAUUGACGUUACCCGCAGAAGAAGCACCGGCUAACUCCGUGCCAGCAGCCGCGGUAAUACGGAGGGUGCAAGCGUUAAUCGGAAUUACUGGGCGUAAAGCGCACGCAGGCGGUCUGGCAAGUCGGAUGUGAAAUCCCCGGGCUCAACCUGGGAACUGCAUUCGAAACUGGCAGGCUAGAGUCUUGUAGAGGGGGGUAGAAUUCCAGGUGUAGCGGUGAAAUGCGUAGAGAUCUGGAGGAAUACCGGUGGCGAAGGCGGCCCCCUGGACAAAGACUGACGCUCAGGUGCGAAAGCGUGGGGAGCAAACAGG